AGAAAGGAAUAAAUAAAAAAUGAACACACGUUGCAGUGAAGAUGACGAUUAAUCAUCUCCAUCUUAAUAGCUACUUUGCAGCGUGGCAGCUCUGACUAAUUGAUAUUUUUAGUGCGACGCCUCCAACGUGUGAAAUCGUACUGACGGGACCGAUCGAUCGAGCCGUUUCCUCACACCAAACGGAACACCCGAGACGACAUUUCGGCCUGAUAACAGUUUGCAGGCUUUGAGAAGUCGUGCGGGCGGCGAAUCUGUCGCAGCUUCGUCUCAACUCAGGAGGCGUGAAAGGACUUCAGAGGCGAGCGGGUCAAAGCAGCAGAACAAUGCGACGCGAAAGCCCCACGGUGGAGCGAUCCCAGAGAGGAGGAGGAGGAGAGAGCAAAGAUCUCUGCACCGUGAAAUACCCUUUGGAGUUUCAACCAAAGGAUGGAGCGAAGGCCUCCCGGGAAUCCCUGCAGCAACGAUCCACACGCUCAUCCACUCCUCCCUUCAUCUGAGAUAACAGGGAGGGGGAGACAUGACCUUUCUGUACACAGUAUAUCCUGCUUUUGAAUAUAUUUAUAUUGUAUAGUCGCUAAAUAUUUCUCUUUGUUUUUAUUCUUGUAUUCCCUUUUCUAAAAGUAUUUGGUGUAUACUGUGUUUUUGCAAUAGAGAGAACAUGUAAGCGUGUGAGCCAUGAACGCAUGUGCUCGUCCCCGAACUUGAUGUCCCUUCUUUGUUCAUAAGUGACUUUGUUCUUUCAUUUCUUUCCUCCACGAUGUGAUGAGUCCCAGAGACGAUCGCGUUUCUCCGCCACUCAGAGAAUCUGACCGGCACCACCGCUUGUGUAGAGGCUGAAAAGUGUUCAUUUUCUCCACAAUGCUCCUCUCUGAAAGCCCAGCUGCUCUGACAAUUACCCCUAAACGUGGAUUCGACACAUUAACUGCAUCUGCUGCUCAGCAGUGAGGAGUUUUGGCUCCAGCAGUCUCGGCUCUCGUCCGCCACGGUGACAGCAUGCAUGUACGAAUCUGGAUGCAGCAUAGGAAGGAUUGGAUAUAAAAAAGUGACUUUAAGUGAAAGAGCAAAUAGGUUGAUUAUAGGUUUAUAGUGCGAAACAAAGGUUUCGUUUGCACAGAUUUACUUCCCUUUAUAUUUCCGCGUGCGGCCAUAAAUAAGAAUCAUUGUAUCAUCCGCCCGGAGCGCCGUGUGCUUUGGUUCCGGCGCGCAUCGAGUCACUGCAGGUGAAACGUAUUCAGAUAGACAUUUAAAAGCAUUGGACGAUACAGUGCGAGCUCACAGGCCAAAGCAGCACACUCCAAUUCUUUCUUCUUGUUAUUCAGAACUGUGCUGUUCCUACUGUGACAUAAUGUGACACCUACAUUUGGAUGCUCGUUAAAUAAACCCAACAAAUCCAA
Gasterosteus aculeatus aculeatus (three-spined stickleback) is the source of this 1394-nucleotide long non-coding RNA. RefSeq lists it as uncharacterized. Lineage: Eukaryota; Metazoa; Chordata; Actinopteri; Perciformes; Gasterosteidae. The record is from RefSeq and is a predicted model, not a curated record.